CUUUAUGUAAAGUGACCAUUUAUUAAAAAUAUAUGAAAUGUGACCAAAUUGUCAAAGGAGAGGAGCUAACUUUCUUGGAAAUCAGAGAAAAAUACUGUAAAAACUUGAAAAGGAAAUCUGUUAUUAAUGCUAAAACAUUCUUUCCUUCCUGAUUGGAUGUUCGUGUCUCCGUGAAUGUGUCUGGAUUGUGAAAUCAUCACGGUGAUUCACAGGUGUUUCCAAGGGAAAGCAUGUGGCAUUUCACCUGAGUUAUGUAUUGUUUCAAACAUCCAGUGGAGGGUUUCUGGUAUCUCUCUUGAACUCUGGUGAGCUCAUGUCUGAAGCAGUUUGGUGAAGUGUGAGCCAGAUGUAGCCAGAUGGGUUGGGAGCUACAGAGGGGGCAGGCAAAAGUGAUGUGAAGAAUGCUCAAAGGGCCAGCCCGUCUGAUUUAUAAAGAGAAGCAUUGAGGGUGUAAAGGCAUGUAUACAAAUACCUGCAGUUAUCCAACACAUGGGGACCCUGAGGAGGAAGCAGGAUCUUGGCACUUUAUAACACUUGGAAUUAACAAUUUGGACAACAACUAAAAAGAAAAACAUGAAUCCAAUAUUUCUGAUGCCAGUAAAAUCUCCUUGGCUCUGGAAUAGUCAUUUUCCGUGAAGUGCAGCCCUCUCACAUGCACAAACUUGCUGAAAACAAAACGAUGAAGCACCAGGAAGCUGACAGCCAGUCAUUU
This 712-nucleotide long non-coding RNA is filed under the name Pan troglodytes (chimpanzee). Its description in RNAcentral is "lncRNA (ENSPTRG00000053700.1)". The record is from RNAcentral. Lineage: Eukaryota; Metazoa; Chordata; Mammalia; Primates; Hominidae.